This 253-nucleotide ribosomal RNA is filed under the name uncultured bacterium. RNAcentral describes it as "partial 16S ribosomal RNA". It matches the Rfam family "Bacterial small subunit ribosomal RNA", at positions 524 to 776 of the family's 1533-position model. The record is from RNAcentral.
GACGUAGGGCGCGAGCGUUGUCCGGAUUUAUUGGGCGUAAAGAGCUCGUAGGCGGCUUGUUGCGUCGACUGUGAAAACCCGCGGCUUAACUGCGGGCUUGCAGUUGAUACGGGCAGGCUAGAGUUCGGUAGGGGAGACUGGAAUUCCUGGUGUAGCGGUGAAAUGCGCAGAUAUCAGGAGGAACACCGGUGGCGAAGGCGGAUCUCUGGGCCUUACCUGACGCUCAGGCACGAAAGCUAGGGGAGCGAACAGG